This is a long non-coding RNA of Sapajus apella (tufted capuchin), 589 nucleotides long. RefSeq lists it as uncharacterized. The record is from RefSeq and is a predicted model, not a curated record. Lineage: Eukaryota; Metazoa; Chordata; Mammalia; Primates; Cebidae. The transcript has 2 exons.
CCUCCCAGGUUCAAGUGAUUCUCCUGCCUCAGCCUCCCAAGUAGCUGAGAUUUCAGGUCAAAUGAAAAGCCAAUCACAGAAGACAUUUUCUUGCCCUCACCUGUAAGCUUCAUCUAAAGACAUGUCCAUCCUCUUCAUGAUGUAGGCAAUAGCGAUGGUGGCAGAGCGGGAGAUCCCAGCCAAACAGUGCACUAGGACACAUCCAUUGGAGGCUUUUGCUUUCUCUGUAUGAGUCAAAUUCAAGAAAGGUCACUACUAACAAUUGUGGUCAGCAGUGGAAUCUUGUUUCCAUUUAUUUACUCAAUGUCUUCCACCUGAAAACCGCUAAGCAAAUCUCAUCUGUUUACAUCCUAUUUAUCCUUGCAAUAUUCUUCUGAGGAGGUAGGGGAGGAGAAUUCCCUCACCACUGACAUGCAGGACAGCUAGGGUCGAAAACUCUUUGUUAAUAAGCAGUUUGUUAAUAAGCAAGCUAUUAUUCACGUUUCCUGACUUAUGUCAAUAUUUUCCCCUACUAAGACAUGGCUAAUGUUUAAUCAUGUUAUCUGACAUUUCAGAUUUUUCCCUGAUUACAUAAGAGAUAUAAUUAAAA